AUGUAACUGAACAUGAUUACACUAUUUAUUGGUCCAAAUUCAUAAAUAGUGCCUAGUUCAUGGUUCACUUUCAUAAAUAGUGCAUAGUUAUUGGGUCCAGUUCCAUAAAUAAUGUAUAGUAAUUGGUAUAGUUACAUAACUGGUGUCUCACUCUUUGCCCAGUUUCAUAUAUAGUGCUUAGUUAUUGGUCCACUUUCAUAUAUAAUGUCUGGUUCUUGGUCAUUUUAAAAAAAUAAUGUUUAGUUCUUGGUCCAGUUUCAUAUAUACUGUAUAGUAAUUGGUACAGUUCCAUAGAUAGGGUCUUAUAGUUUCAUAAAUAGUGUCUCUUUCUUGAUCCAGUUUCAUAAAUAGUCUAUUUCUGGUCCAGUUUUUUUGUUCAGUUUUUUAAAUAAUGCCUUCUCUGAUUUCGAUGCAUCCU
This 418-nucleotide long non-coding RNA is filed under the name Malus domestica (apple). Its description in RNAcentral is "long non-coding RNA (MDOM_LNC009025)". Lineage: Eukaryota; Viridiplantae; Streptophyta; Magnoliopsida; Rosales; Rosaceae. The record is from RNAcentral.